Molecule: unclassified non-coding RNA, 256 nt
Filed under: Phaeomoniellaceae sp.
Lineage: Eukaryota; Fungi; Ascomycota; Eurotiomycetes; Phaeomoniellales; Phaeomoniellaceae
Description: partial contains 5.8S ribosomal RNA, internal transcribed spacer 2, and large subunit ribosomal RNA
Source: RNAcentral
CGCAUAUUGCGCCCUUUGGUAUUCCGAAGGGCAUGCCUGUUCGAGCGUCAUUAUCAACCCUCAAGCCUGGCUUGUUAUUGGGUCUUGUCGUUUCUUGAGACGACAGACCUCAAAGAUAAUGGCGGUGUCGUGAAUGACCCCAGGUGCAGUGAGCUUUAUAAGCACGCAUGUUGGUGGUGUUCUCGUCCCGGUCUGGUUAAAUCUCUUUAACUGAACGGUUGACCUCGGAUCAGGUAGGAAUACCCGCUGAACUUAA